This is a long non-coding RNA of Vicia villosa (hairy vetch), 461 nucleotides long. RefSeq lists it as uncharacterized. The transcript is spliced from 2 exons. The record is from RefSeq and is a predicted model, not a curated record. NCBI's taxonomy places the organism in Eukaryota, Viridiplantae, Streptophyta, Magnoliopsida, Fabales, Fabaceae.
UGAAGUUGACAGAUCAUGAAAUUUUUUAUUAUAAAGCACACAAGAAUUCCUAUUUAUUACAUUCUAACGAGAAAAUAUAUGGCUCAAAUUCCCGUUUUUGUUUAUACUUGUAUUAUCCUUCUUUCUAUACUUCUUGUAGCACAUGGUGAUCCUAUUCCAUGUGUUAGUGACGAUGAUUGUCCAUGGAGGAUUUUCCCUCUAGUUAUGAAAUGUAUUAACAAAUUUUGUGAAUACAAAAUAAUGUUAUAAUUAAGAUUUUCAAGAAUUUGAAUAUGUCUUAGCAACAAGAACAUGAAUGAUGGCUAAAGUAUUUAAACGGUAUCGUUACCUCUUAAUAUCUCUUUCUCCAAUAUAUUCAUAAUUGUAUUGUAUUUUCUCAAAUAAAAGCUAGUCUUAUACUCUCUUAAAUAUCACAUUUGUAACAACUAUCUAUCUCAAAAUAAAUAUCGUUUUCAAUGUAA